Mastomys coucha (southern multimammate mouse) is the source of this 609-nucleotide long non-coding RNA. RefSeq lists it as uncharacterized. Lineage: Eukaryota; Metazoa; Chordata; Mammalia; Rodentia; Muridae. The record is from RefSeq and is a predicted model, not a curated record. The transcript has 2 exons.
GGAAUUGAACUCAGGACCUCAGGAAGAGCAAUUGGUGCUCUUAACCACUAAACCAUCUCUCCAGCCGUAUCCUUUAAUUUUUAAUACUCAUUAUUAUAGUUUACAGUGCUGGGGGCUGAACAUAGGGUCUUAGGGAUGAUAGGCAAGCACUCUCCUACUAAGACAUACACCUCCAAGUCUUCAAAUGGGAUUUUGAGAACAAUUUACAUUCACAUAGUAGUGUUUUCAAAAAGCACCCCCCCCCGCCCCCCCGCCAAUGCAGUUGGUAACACAUGCCUUUGAUCCCAGCACUUAGGAGGCAGAGACAGAUGGAUCUCUGUGAGUUCCAGGACAGCCAAUGCUAUACAGAGAGACCCCCACCCAUCUCAAAAGCAGCAUGCCCUCAACACCUUCAAGCAAAUUUCUGUCUAGAGAAGAACAGGCCUUUUAAAAAAAAAGAAGGCAGCAAUAUUUUUUCCGGAAUGGUGUUGCAAGGAAGGAACACUGGACACUUUGGAAAGGCCUCCAAUUGUACCAGAAACUGACAAAAGUGGAGGAAUGUGGAGGAAUGAGGAAGCAGAGGUACAAACAUUUGGCAGCUACCAUGAAAUAAAAACAAGGUCAUGAGCA